Molecule: ribosomal RNA, 485 nt
Filed under: Phaeothecoidea melaleuca
Lineage: Eukaryota; Fungi; Ascomycota; Dothideomycetes; Mycosphaerellales; Teratosphaeriaceae
Description: eukaryotic LSU rRNA
Rfam family: Eukaryotic large subunit ribosomal RNA
Source: RNAcentral
CGGCAACAGCUCAAAUUUGAAAUCUGGCGCAAGCCCGAGUUGUAAUUUGGAGAGGAUGCUUCUAGGCAGCGGCCGGUCUAAGUUCCUUGGAACAGGACGUCAUAGAGGGUGAGAAUCCCGUAUGUGACCGGUUGGCACCUAACACGUAGCUCCUUCGACGAGUCGAGUUGUUUGGGAAUGCAGCUCUAAAUGGGAGGUAAAUUUCUUCUAAAGCUAAAUACUGGCCAGAGACCGAUAGCGCACAAGUAGAGUGAUCGAAAGAUGAAAAGCACUUUGGAAAGAGAGUUAAAAAGCACGUGAAAUUGUUGAAAGGGAAGCGCAUGCAACCAGACUUGUCAGCGGUGUUCCGCCGGUCUUCUGACCGGUCUACUCGCCGCUGGCAGGCCAGCAUCACUUGGGACCGCCGGACAAAGGCCACGGGAAUGUAGCUCCUCGGAGUGUUAUAGCCCGCGGCACAAUACGGCGCGCCCCGAGUGAGGUCCGCG